RNAcentral lists this ribosomal RNA (253 nucleotides) under uncultured bacterium. RNAcentral describes it as "partial 16S ribosomal RNA". It matches the Rfam family "Bacterial small subunit ribosomal RNA", at positions 524 to 776 of the family's 1533-position model. The record is from RNAcentral.
GACAGAGGGUGCAACCGUUGUUCGGAAUUACUGGGCGUAAAGCGCGUGUAGGCGGUCGGGCAAGUCGGAUGUGAAAGCCCCGGGCUCAACCCGGGAAGUGCAUUCGAUACUGCUUGGCUAGAGUACUGGAGAGGAUGGUGGAACUCUCGGUGUAGAGGUGAAAUUCGUAGAUAUCGAGAAGAACACCGGCGGCGAAGGCGGCCAUCUGGACAGAUACUGACGCUGAGACGCGAAAGCGUGGGGAGCAAACAGG